Molecule: ribosomal RNA, 253 nt
Filed under: uncultured bacterium
Lineage: Bacteria
Description: partial 16S ribosomal RNA
Rfam family: Bacterial small subunit ribosomal RNA
Source: RNAcentral
CACGUAGGGGGCAAGCGUUGUCCGGAUUUAUUGGGCGUAAAGAGCUCGUAGGCGGUUUGUUGCGUCGGCUGUGAAAACCUGAGGCUCAACCUCAGGCCUGCAGUCGAUACGAGCAGACUAGAGUGUUGCAGGGGAGACUGGAAUUCCUGGUGUAGCGGUGAAAUGCGCAGAUAUCAGGAGGAACACCUGCGGCGAAGGCGGGUUGCUGGGCUGACACUGACGCUGAUGUGCGAAAGCUAGGGGAGCGAACGGG